This is a long non-coding RNA of Columba livia (rock pigeon), 1525 nucleotides long. RefSeq lists it as uncharacterized. Lineage: Eukaryota; Metazoa; Chordata; Aves; Columbiformes; Columbidae. The record is from RefSeq and is a predicted model, not a curated record. The transcript has 4 exons.
GGCCCGGGGGAGGCAGGUGGAGGGGGGGCAGGCGCGCUGACAGCCGCGCCGUUGCGAUGAGUCAUGCGAAGGCAGCCAGACGCGUAGGUUCCUCACAGGAACCCGAAGGAAACCUGAGAGCGCGUUCCCUGUUACCUAAUCUCUGCCUCAGGAUUUCCCUGCGCUCAUCGUUUCCGGCGCCGGUGUCGCCUCCGCGGGCUCGCAGCCAGGACGGGGCCGCAGGGUUUCUGGGUACUGCAUCAUCAGUGAGUCACAAGCCUCAAGAGAAUGCAUAUCAAUGCAUGUGCGCUGCGCUGGCUCCCCCUCCUCUUGCGCUGCAAUACGUAGGAAGCCGCCGUUCCCAAGCGGAGCGUUUGCUGACAUCACAUGCGGAGACUCCAGAGAUGGAUUGCACUUUAAAACAGUCGUUUUGGUGAAGCGCUGCAAGGCUCUCCCGCUCACCUGCGCGCAGCCCUGGGACCUCGGAAUCCUUGCCUUGCUGGUCUCCAUCAGGUCAGCCCCAUGUGCUCUGGUAUUCAUUACAGCACGGAGAAAGAAGAAAAUGAUUCAACUGUAAUGAAGACCUAGACCCUCUCGGCAUCUUGCCAGAGCUUGCUCCACGAUAUCCAAGCUGAGAUUAAAGAUUUUGGCUAUCAGACACAGUUUCGAGACAGAGAUCAAAACGCAUUUUACAAUGGGUACAAAUUCUACACCAGAAUGUUUCCAACUGUAUCGAAUAUGAGAGAAAAAUGCUACUGUAAAAUAAGAUAUUUCUGUGUUAAACUGGCUGUAGAUUAAUAUUUGACCUUCUUUCUAAAUAUAUCCAGUAGAAAUGUCUAGGAACAUCCAGCUUAGCUAUCACUAGAGGGAAAGAAAGCUGUCCCCUUCAUAAAGCUCUUGCCUUAAUACUUUGCAGCAUCUGUGCUUUUUUUUUCAUAAAUAAGAACUUCCCUUCUGCUAGGAAGCUGAAUACGAGUUUAGAGAUUAAUGCUCUUCUGAAAUCUUAGAGCAGACUGUUUCUAAGGCUUACCAAUCAAUGGGGAAAAAGAAUAUAUACUUAGGGGAGGCAACAGGAUUGAUUUUUCUUGGGGUUUUGCUGCCGAUGCCUCCCUCAAUAGUUCCUUUGGCUACAACCAACCAUGCAGGAGUAGGAGCUGCUUUAGCUUUUACGAUGGGACUGUUGAAAUAGCAUCCCUUUAGAGAGGGUCAUAAAAAUCCCCUUGGAAUCCAGCAGCUCAAUACUUGCACCAAGUCUAUGGAGUAAAUUCCCAUCUUUGCACCACUCUGAAAUGCUCAACUUGAGAUAUCGCGGUUUAGGAUCAGGGGAAUAUCUCUUAGCUUAAAUAUUUUACCAACUGCUACCAAGUUUCAUUUUUGCAGGAGUACACACGACUCAGUUUAACAGCACUGUGUGGUUACACCCAUUCUGGUGAGAGUCACAAUCAGUUUAUGGUCAAUAUGAGGUUAUGCCAAGCUAAAUGUUUGUAAAAGAAAAUAUGUGCAAGACAAUAUGUGAUAUCUUUGAAUUAUAACCUACUCUGAAUGU